CUCAGAGCAGGCGAGACUACCCGCUGAAUUUAACAUAUCAUAUACCCGGGAGGAGAAAAUUGGUGU
RNAcentral lists this ribosomal RNA (66 nucleotides) under Paratlanticus ussuriensis. RNAcentral's name for it is "partial 26S ribosomal RNA". Lineage: Eukaryota; Metazoa; Arthropoda; Insecta; Orthoptera; Tettigoniidae. The record is from RNAcentral.